Arenibacter sp. is the source of this 80-nucleotide non-coding RNA. The record is from Rfam. NCBI's taxonomy places the organism in Bacteria, Pseudomonadati, Bacteroidota, Flavobacteriia, Flavobacteriales, Flavobacteriaceae.
AAUAUCGAGGAAGGAUUUGACUGAUUGCAACCUCAUGUGCUGAAUUAGUUUCGGCAUAACUAAAUGCUAAAGCAGUUUAA